UACGUAGGGUGCGAGCGUUAAUCGGAAUUACUGGGCGUAAAGCGUGCGCAGGCGGCUUUGCAAGACAGAUGUGAGAUCCCCGGGCUCAACCUGGGAACUGCAUUUGUGACUGCAAGGCUAGAGUACGGCAGAGGGGGAUGGAAUUCCGCGUGUAGCAGUGAAAUGCGUAGAUAUGCGGAGGAACACCAAUGGCGAAGGCAAUCCCCUGGGACUGUACUGACGCUCAUGCACGAAAGCGUGGGGAGCAAACAGG
This 253-nucleotide ribosomal RNA is filed under the name uncultured bacterium. Its description in RNAcentral is "partial 16S ribosomal RNA". It matches the Rfam family "Bacterial small subunit ribosomal RNA", at positions 524 to 776 of the family's 1533-position model. The record is from RNAcentral.